Lineus longissimus is the source of this 698-nucleotide long non-coding RNA. RefSeq lists it as uncharacterized. The record is from RefSeq and is a predicted model, not a curated record. NCBI's taxonomy places the organism in Eukaryota, Metazoa, Nemertea, Pilidiophora, Heteronemertea, Lineidae. The transcript has 3 exons.
CAUGGAUUCAGACAUGAAGCAUCGAUACCUUUUGCUUCUAUUUUCGUUGAAUUUUGUCUCUGGUGUUCUUGCUGGUUUCGGAAUUGGAUCAGGCAACGUGUCAGCAGGUCCGAUGUUAACAACGACAACAACUUUUGGGUUAAUUCCAAAUUUAAAUCCAACACGAAACUUGGCCCCAAAUCACUUGGAACCUACGCUCUUGGUUCCAGACAACGAAACGCCUCAAGGUGACAGUGUGUUUGGCGGUGGUAUCGCAACCAAACCCACCAAGCCCCCCAAAAAAGGGUCAGGUGGCAAAGCUGAAGAUACCAAUUGGAUAAAGAUUGAAAACACCACCGCUUAUUCUUGUGAGGAACCUGAAAGUUGCAAGAUAGGAUGUAACGCGCAGGGCAGUGUUGACAGAUGUUCUUGUAGCCCGGAGUGUAUUCCUCAGGGCCGUUGUUGUGCCGAUUUCGAAGAAUUCUGCCAUGGUACCGAGGAUUACGAUGCGGCUGCAUCAAUGACAGACUUCAUAGUUUGCGACUCCCUGAGGAUAGGUGAUAUAAAGUUUAAGAGAAAACCUUACGAUGAAGGGCUGACUAUUGUGAGAAAGUGUCCAGCAUCGACUCCUGUUGAAAUCGCUGACAAGUGUUCAGGUGGACAUGGGGCAGCGGGCCCAAUAUACCUCAAGGACAUGUACCCCUUUCUGCCACUUAUCU